UGCUAUACUGCAAGUCGAGCGAACAGACGAGGAGCUUGCUCCUCUGACGUUAGCGGCGGACGGGUGAGUAACACGUGGAUAACCUACCUAUAAGACUGGGAUAACUUCGGGAAACCGGAGCUAAUACCGGAUAAUAUAUUGAACCGCAUGGUUCAAUAGUGAAAGACGGUUUUGCUGUCACUUAUAGAUGGAUCCGCGCCGCAUUAGCUAGUUGGUAAGGUAACGGCUUACCAAGGCAACGAUGCGUAGCCGACCUGAGAGGGUGAUCGGCCACACUGGAACUGAGACACGGUCCAGACUCCUACGGGAGGCAGCAGUAGGGAAUCUUCCGCAAUGGGCGAAAGCCUGACGGAGCAACGCCGCGUGAGUGAUGAAGGUCUUCGGAUCGUAAAACUCUGUUAUUAGGGAAGAACAAAUGUGUAAGUAACUAUGCACGUCUUGACGGUACCUAAUCAGAAAGCCACGGCUAACUACGUGCCAGCAGCCGCGGUAAUACGUAGGUGGCAAGCGUUAUCCGGAAUUAUUGGGCGUAAAGCGCGCGUAGGCGGUUUUUUAAGUCUGAUGUGAAAGCCCACGGCUCAACCGUGGAGGGUCAUUGGAAACUGGAAAACUUGAGUGCAGAAGAGGAAAGUGGAAUUCCAUGU
Molecule: ribosomal RNA, 644 nt
Filed under: Staphylococcus epidermidis
Lineage: Bacteria; Bacillati; Bacillota; Bacilli; Caryophanales; Staphylococcaceae
Description: bacterial SSU rRNA
Rfam family: Bacterial small subunit ribosomal RNA
Source: RNAcentral